RNAcentral lists this ribosomal RNA (492 nucleotides) under uncultured bacterium. RNAcentral describes it as "partial 16S ribosomal RNA". It matches the Rfam family "Bacterial small subunit ribosomal RNA", at positions 29 to 507 of the family's 1533-position model. The record is from RNAcentral.
AGUGAACGCUGGCGGUAGGCCUAACACAUGCAAGUCGAACGGCAGCACAGUAAGAGCUUGCUCUUACGGGUGGCGAGUGGCGUACGGGUGAGGAAUACAUCGGAAUCUACUUUUUCGUGGGGGAUAACGUAGGGAAACUUACGCUAAUACCGCAUACGACCUACGGGUGAAAGCAGGGGAUCUUCGGACCUUGCGCGAUUGAAUGAGCCGAUGUCGGAUUAGCUAGUUGGCGGGGUAAAGGCUCACCAAGGCGACGAUCCGUAGCUGGUCUGAGAGGAUGAUCAGCCACACUGGAACUGAGACACGGUCCAGACUCCUACGGGAGGCAGCAGUGGGGAAUAUUGGACAAUGGGCGCAAGCCUGAUCCAGCCAUACCGCGUGGGUGAAGAAGGCCUUCGGGUUGUAAAGCCCUUUUGUUGGGAAAGAAAAGCAGCAGGUUAAUACCCCGCUGUUCUGACGGUACCCAAAGAAUAAGCACCGGCUAACUUCGUG